Molecule: ribosomal RNA, 180 nt
Filed under: uncultured bacterium
Lineage: Bacteria
Description: partial 16S ribosomal RNA
Rfam family: Bacterial small subunit ribosomal RNA
Source: RNAcentral
CCUACGGGAGGCAGCAGUGAGGAAUAUUGGUCAAUGGGCGAGAGCCUGAACCAGCCAAGUAGCGUGAAGGAUGACUGCCCUAUGGGUUGUAAACUUCUUUUAUAAAGGAAUAAAGUCGGGUAUGGAUACCCGUUUGCAUGUACUUUAUGAAUAAGGAUCGGCUAACUCCGUGCCAGCAGC